GGUUCUAUAGUGUAGCGGCUAUCACACGGGAUUCUGACUUCGAUCAAUUUCCCGUAACCCCGGUUCGAUCCCGGGUAGGACCU
Molecule: non-coding RNA, 83 nt
Organism: Thelephora terrestris
Lineage: Eukaryota; Fungi; Basidiomycota; Agaricomycetes; Thelephorales; Thelephoraceae
Source: the annotation of a GenBank genome assembly